Molecule: long non-coding RNA, 301 nt
Filed under: Mytilus galloprovincialis (Mediterranean mussel)
Lineage: Eukaryota; Metazoa; Mollusca; Bivalvia; Mytilida; Mytilidae
Source: RNAcentral
AUAUGAAAAAUGACAUGUUAUGAUCUUUUUAUCAUAUGCUUCAACAGUAGAGAAAAAUAACAGAUUCACAUAUUGAUCCUUUUACAAAUGUAUGUGGUUCCCGAAGUUUAAAGAGUAAAAAAGUUCACGGCCGUCGGGCCCAAAAUUUGAUACAUUCAAUAUGAAAUCUUUCUAUCAUAUGCCCCAACAGAGAGAGAGAGAGAAAACCAACAUUUUAAUAUGGACGAAUCGGCAAAAAAUAAUUCAACAAUAUACCUAAUGAUCAUUGUUUGGAAAAGUCAACUUUUUAAGGAAACUUUCU